Long non-coding RNA from Austrofundulus limnaeus, 1100 nucleotides. RefSeq lists it as uncharacterized. The transcript has 3 exons. The record is from RefSeq and is a predicted model, not a curated record. Lineage: Eukaryota; Metazoa; Chordata; Actinopteri; Cyprinodontiformes; Rivulidae.
AAACAUGCUGAAAUUUGUUGAAACUACAUGAAAGUUGCAAAUAAAAACCGGAAUUACUAAAAGUGUAGCUGAGAAAGUAAAAACCAAAAAUACCAAAGAAAUUACGAGAAAAUAAUAACAGCUCAACAACUCAGAACAAAGUUAAUUCAAAAAUAUGGAAAUCACACUCAAAAUUUCUAAACUUUCAUUUAAAAUAUCUGUAGGGAACCUAAAAUCAGUUUAACAAAGGUUAAAUUGUCUAACAAUUACUUUAAAAGUGGAUGAACAAAUGUGUCGAUGGAUUCUAAAGACGGCAGCACCAGUAAGUUUGGCUUGUCGGUCUCUUCAAACCUUGUUUAUAUUUGUUUUGUUUUUUUUAUAUCUACUGCUCAUUGUACCGACUCUCGACUGGUAAUCUCCAAACACUUUUUCAUCUCCAACAUUGGUCCAAUACCUUGGAUUCAAAUGUGACCUGCAAGUCCCCAACCGGCAGCCAGUGCUAUUGAAGGCCUGUUGUGGUGUUUCUUGGGGGGCUUGGGCACUGCCUGGGCCAUAGUCCUCUUCUUCUUUGGAGUAGUAGGCCCCGCCCCAUCUCCAGCACUGUCUUGAUGUGCUGGAUUUUGUGUGGGCUCCCACUUCCUAGCCACUAAACAAGAAGAAGGUGUUUUCUUUUCUUCCUCCUUUUCUUCGGGUCAUGAAGGGAGAGACCCUCCAGGUCUGAGGCAUUUAGGAAGUUUCACCUCCUGCCUCUCUACUGGCUGGCAGCGCUGAUUGACUCACCUGUGUUGGAUUGGCUCAUUAUCUCCCAGGCUUCAUAAGGCUGCAUUGAGGAUUAGUUCUUCGCUGAAGCAUCGCUACUCUAUGGAUCUGGAAUGUCUGAAGUUUGCAGCAGGCUGGAAGGAACAUGAAGGAAAGUUAUUUUAUUUCAACAAAUAUAGACUCAGCUGGACUGACAGCAGACRUGUCUGCAGAGAUGUUGGAGGAGACCUGGUGAAGAUAGACAGCAAAGAGGAGCAGGAAUGAAACACUGCUGCAGGAGUUUCUGGUGGGAAAACUGAAGAAGUUGAGUGAAAAUAUUGAUGUCUCUUUCUGGGUCGGACUGACAGAUUCAGAGAGAGAAG